GACGAACGCUGGCGGCGUGCUUAACACAUGCAAGUCGAACGGAAAGGCCCUGCUUUUGUGGGGUGCUCGAGUGGCGAACGGGUGAGUAACACGUGAGUAACCUGCCCUUGACUUUGGGAUAACUUCAGGAAACUGGGGCUAAUACCGGAUAGGAGCUCCUGCUGCAUGGUGGGGGUUGGAAAGUUUCGGCGGUUGGGGAUGGACUCGCGGCUUAUCAGCUUGUUGGUGGGGUAGUGGCUUACCAAGUCUUUGACGGGUAGCCGGCCUGAGAGGGUGACCGGCCACAUUGGGACUGAGAUACGGCCCAGACUCCUACGGGAGGCAGCAGUGGGGAAUAUUGCACAAUGGGCGGAAGCCUGAUGCAGAAACGCCGCGUGCGGGAUGACGGCCUUCGGGUUGUAAACCGCUUUCGCCUGUGACGAAGCGUGAGUGACGGUAAUGGGUAAAGAAGCACCGGCUAACUACGUG
RNAcentral lists this ribosomal RNA (468 nucleotides) under uncultured bacterium. Its description in RNAcentral is "partial 16S ribosomal RNA". It matches the Rfam family "Bacterial small subunit ribosomal RNA", at positions 28 to 507 of the family's 1533-position model. The record is from RNAcentral.